UAGGGUUGAGUGGUUCCCACAGUGUAAUAGUAUUAAUCCAAAGGUUAGAAAUAAUCAAAGGGGUUGAUCUAAGGGCCAAAAAAUCGGAAGCACCAGAUCCACUAUGCUUCCGAUAGUAUAGUAGCUCUACUAUAUAUAUAUAUAUAUAUAUAUAGUCCGGCUACUAUGCUAUCGGUAGCACGGAGCGCUCCCUGCUACCAAGUUGUUUUCGAUAAUGCGGCUUCCAAAUCGACGAUCGGCUCCGUUAGACUUGAUCUACACUAUUGAAAGUAUUUGGAAACUAAAUUUCAGAUUUUUUCGACAUCAUGACUAGUGAUCAAAAGAUCUUAAAAUUGAUAAUUUUAAUGGCCGAUGUGGUGUGUUUGUGAGUUUAACGGUGUAAAACAAUCCAAAUGCGAUGAAAAUUUUAUAGAAAAUUCUUUUUACUAUUUAGAGUAAGAUCAGUAUAUCUGAUCUUGAAUUUAAAUCUUUUAUCAUCAUUUUUCAUAAGAUUUUUAUUUUCAGCCGUUCAAUUUUAGACUAUUUGUUUGAUAGGUAAAUGAUAUCGAAAAAUUAUGAAAUUUAGUUUCUAAAUACUUUCAAUAGUGUAGAUCAAAUCUAACGGAGCUGAUCGUCGAUUUGGAAACCGCAUCAUCGAAAAUAAUUUGGUAGCACGGAGCGCUCCGUGCUACCGAU
This 675-nucleotide long non-coding RNA is filed under the name Ananas comosus (pineapple). Its description in RNAcentral is "long non-coding RNA (ACOM_LNC016596)". The record is from RNAcentral. Lineage: Eukaryota; Viridiplantae; Streptophyta; Magnoliopsida; Poales; Bromeliaceae.